GGAUGGGAGACAGUGUCAGGCAGGCAGUUUGACUGGGGCGGUCGCCUCCUAAAAUGUAACGGAGGCGCCCAAAGGUUCCCUCAGAAUGGUUGGAAAUCAUUCGCAGAGUGUAAAGGCACAAGGGAGCUUGACUGCGAGACCUACAAGUCGAGCAGGGACGAAAGUCGGGCUUAGUGAUCCGGUGGUUCCGCAUGGAAGGGCCAUCGCUCAACGGAUAAAAGCUACCCCGGGGAUAACAGGCUUAUCUCCCCCAAGAGUCCACAUCGACGGGGAGGUUUGGCACCUCGAUGUCGGCUCAUCGCAUCCUGGGGCUGUAGUCGGUCCCAAGGGUUGGGCUGUUCGCCCAUUAAAGCGGUACGCGAGCUGGGUUCAGAACGUCGUGAGACAGUUCGGUCCCUAUCCGUCGUGGGCGCAGGAAAUUUGAGAGGAGCUGUCCUUAGUACGAGAGGACCGGGAUGGACGCACCGCUGGUGUACCAGUUGUCUUGCCAAAGGCAUAGCUGGGUAGCUAUGUGCGGACGGGAUAAGUGCUGAAAGCAUCUAAGCAUGAAGCCCCCCUCAAGAUGAGAUUUCCCAUUCGAAAGAAGUAAGAUCCCUGAAAGAUGAUCAGGUUGAUAGGUCAGAGGUGGAAGCGCGGCGACGUGUGGAGCUGACUGAUACUAAUCGAUCGAGGACUUAACCAUA
Molecule: ribosomal RNA, 683 nt
Filed under: Bacillus sp. FJAT-27225
Lineage: Bacteria; Bacillati; Bacillota; Bacilli; Caryophanales; Bacillaceae
Description: bacterial LSU rRNA
Rfam family: Bacterial large subunit ribosomal RNA
Source: RNAcentral